This 749-nucleotide ribosomal RNA is filed under the name Hyphodiscus sp. KUS-F52558. Its description in RNAcentral is "SSU rRNA". It matches the Rfam family "Bacterial small subunit ribosomal RNA", at positions 366 to 1134 of the family's 1533-position model. Lineage: Eukaryota; Fungi; Ascomycota; Leotiomycetes; Helotiales; Hyphodiscaceae. The record is from RNAcentral.
GUUAGAUGUAAAGCAUUAUAUAAUAUAAAAAAAUUAACUGGAUUUAUUCAGAUGGACAAAUAUAUAUCGAUUUUAUCGAAUAAAAUUCUAGAUAACAUAUUGAUUAUGACAAUUAGUAUCUAUAUGUCUUGACCAAAUUACGUGCCAGCAGUCGCGGUAAUACGUAGAAGACUAGUGUUAUUCAUCUUUAGUAGGUUUAAAGGGUACCUAGACGGUAAAAUUAGUCCAAACCUGGAUACAGUUUUACUAGAGUUAGAUAUGAGAAGGUGAGUAUUUAAGGAGUAGAGUUGAAAUUCUUUGAUACCUUAACGACUGGUAACGGCGAAAGCAACCUUUUAUGUAAUAACUGACGUUGAGGGACGAAGGCUUGGGUAGCGAACAGGAUUAGAUACCCUAGUAGUCCUAGCGGAAAAUUAUGAAUGCCAUAGAUUAGAAUUCCGUUUUAGUUUAUAAAUGAAAGUGUAAGCAUUUCACCUCAAGAGUAAUGUGGCAACACAGGAACUGAAAUCAUUAGACCGUAUCUGAAACCAGUAGUGAAGUAUGUUAUUUAAUUCGUCGUUACGCGAAAAACCUUACCACAAUUUGAAUAUUAUCAUAUAAGAUAAUACAAGCGUUGCACGGCUGUCUUCAGUUAAUGUCGUGAUUAUCAUGGUUAAUUCCUUUAACUUCACGCAUGCCCUCGCUUCAUUUGUUAUUAUAGCCUGUAUUUUAAAAAUAUGUGCAGAUAAUCAAUUCCUUUCCCCUGUGUA